This 7412-nucleotide long non-coding RNA is filed under the name Lathyrus oleraceus (garden pea). RNAcentral describes it as "Pisum sativum (pea) long non-coding RNA (PSAT_LNC004046)". The record is from RNAcentral. Lineage: Eukaryota; Viridiplantae; Streptophyta; Magnoliopsida; Fabales; Fabaceae.
AUAUUUUCAAGCAUAAAUAAAAUGAAAUACAUUUGCGUAUUCAUAUAUUCUUUGAUUGGCCAGUGGGAAAAAGUUACCAAUCUUAACCGACGAAAUUAAGAUUCUUCCUUAUAUCCAUCCAAGGUAGUCAAAAUGAAAAGUACCAUUGCAGCGUGUCCAUGGUGGAGAGCCAAAAUCCCGCCAUACCAAACGCUUUGCAACACCGUUAUAGCGGGUUAUGGCAGAAAAACCCGCAAUAUCGGCUGAUAUUUACCAUUGCAGCGAGCCCAAAACCGCCACACAUAUCCGCGCGCCGCAAUUGCGGAUAUUUGAUAGCACUGAAAGUACCUUAUAUGCUUUAUGUAUUUUCCUUAUAUGCCCUUAUGACACUGGAUCACCUGCUUAGUCCCCUUUAAUACAAUAUAUCACUAGCAAACAAUGUCUUGCCAUGGGUUCUAGUCAAACAAUCAAGAAUCGGGACAACAUGUAUUAAAUAGGAAAAUCUCAAUUACAAGCUUCACCAUUAAAAAAAUUAAUCUGACCCCAAAAGUGUUAACUCAGAAGUAACACCUCUCUCUUUUUCAAAGAAAGUAAGUCUAGAGAUCAGGAUCAAUAUUGUCAAAAUCAAGAAUUUGCUCAGAUCAAAAGGGGAUACCAAGAUUGUAGCACGUAAGAUUGCAACCAAGAUUGUAGCACGUAAGAUUGCAACCAAGAUCGUACCACGUAAGAUUGCAACCAAUAUCGUACCACGUAAGAUCGCAACCAAGAUGGUAAGAUUCUAUCCAAUUAAUUAUGUGAGUUCAAGAGAGGUAGGAGGUUCAUAACAAGGAUUGUAAGGUCCUACUAAAGUUAAAAACUAUACUAUACUAUACUAAAUAUCCUAACGCAUAAAUCAAUAUUUUUAUCAAGUAUUUUAAUAUCAUUGCUUAUUUUUAUAAAAAAAUUAUAUUAUUAUUACUUAGCUAUUAUAUUAUUGGGAACUUAGACUGCCGGGAAACAAAAGGUAUUUCACACCACAUUUAUCUUUUGUUGGGUCAAGCUCAUUUAAGAGAGUAAAGUAACCUUUGUACCAGAAAAGAAAGAAUAAAGUAACCCUAAUUAUCGUGUUAACUUAUAUCCCUUGGUCCCUUACAGCAGAGCACCAUUUCACUUUCUUCUUCUCCCUUCGAACGGUAAAGGAAAAAAGCAACACCCUUCUUUCAACUUCUUCAUCUCUUCAUCAUCUUAUUCUUUUUAAUUGUCUAGUGUGUUGCUAAAUAUAUGUGGGAGAGAGAAGAAAUUGAACGAAACGCAUUGUUUUGUCACAAAUCAGAGAAAAAUUGUUGCACUGUUGCUUCCCGAUUCGUUUUUACGAUCUUGGCUGCGCUUUCACAAUUUCACGAUCUUGGCUAUGAUUUGCACGAUUUCACUACGAUUUUGCUAAGAAAACGAUUUUAUGCAUGAUCUGGAUCGCGGGGGACUAGUAAAAUUGUGAAAUUGCACAAUUAUACGAUCUAAAUCGCGAUUUUGAUAACCUUGAUCAGGAGUCCAAGAAUACUAUGAAAAGUUUAUAACGAUUAUGUCAGUAAAAAAGCAAAAAACUCGGAAUAAAUAAUACUACUUAAAAAAUAUAAUCCAAAGAAUCCUUCUACCAUCUCACUUAAUAGCAUGACAUGCAAUAAGCUUAUAAGAUUCAAAAAACUUAGUCAUGCUUGAUAGGUCAAAACCACAAGAAACACCCUAAACAAACAUAUUGUCUAAAAAGUCGUUGCAUACUUUGACCGCAAUGAAUCACUUGCUCAAUCAUAUCAAAAACUGCAUUUAACGUAUUAACUUUUGGUUGUUUUAGGGUAAAUUGUUUGAACUAAAAAACCAUAAACAUUUCCCACUAUGCAGUACUUAUAAGGAUAUUGGAAAUGCCAAAGGAGAUACAAACAGCAUUCAAUUCCAGUAUCUCAAUACUAUAUAUAGAUUCAAUUCACCAACAUCACAAAUCCAUAGCAAUAUUCUACAAAGCUAGAAAACCAAUUCAACUAAACUGAUAAACCUUAUCAGUUCCACACGAAACUGUUUACACUCAGUCUAGAAAGUAUAAACUAGCACUACACUGCAGUUCUAAUGAAAUGGAAUAAUGGCAUUGAAGUAACUGAGCUAAAAUAUUCAAUAACAAGUCAGAAACUGAACAGUAAGAAUCAUCAUACCUCAAUCACUUCAUCGGGAGAAGAUAUACAAGCCGGUAAAUUAUCCCUACAAACCCUAAUUUUGCACGCAGUGUCUUUUUUAAUCUUCUCCACCACCUUCCCUCCCUUCCCAAUGACAGAGCUAGCUUCCGCCGCAUCAGCAACUAACCUGCAAGACACAAUCCUAUCCCCAAGCUCAACACCUUCCAUCUCCGCCGCAACUUCAAGAAUCCUAUCAAACACUCUCAGCAAUGCUUCUUGUGCAUUCGAAACAUCAAUUGCCUCGCCGCCCAGUAUAACUUUGCCGUCCGGAACACCGGAGGCAAUGACAGUGAUGACUCGGUCAGGUGACUCAUUCGGAGAAUCCUCAAUUCGGAUCUUGGAGCUGGUUGACUGCUGGAGGGUUCUGAUCACGGAGCCGGACUUGCCAAUGACACCGCCGACGCGGGAGGAAUUGCAUAGAAGACGGAAUGUCACUUGUCCGGGAGAAACAGAUAGUGGUUGUUGAGCUUUGGGUGGCUUUGGGCGCUUGGAAUAUCCGUUUAGAAUCGGGUCGGGUAACCCGGAAAUUGGGCGCUUCAAUGGAGGUGGAAAGAAGUUACUUCCCAUAAUCUUGUUCUCUAUGAAACAAAAUGAGAGUUGCAGAAGCUGGAAAAUGAGGAGAGUAAAAUGCGCUAAAGGAAUGUGGCGGGUGCGUACUGCGCCUAGGUUUUCAGAACCCGCGCACUCGUGGACUAUUACAGUAUUAUUACUACUUAAUGUGACGUUUUUGACCGAUAUUGUGAUGUAAUAAUAAUAAUAAUAAUAAUAAUAAUAAUAAUGAUAAUAAUAAUAAUGAAGAUAAUGAUAAUAAUAAUAAUAAUAAUAAUGAUAAGAAUAACAAUAAUAAUAAUAACAAUAAUAGCCAUAAGCCUCGCCGAGAAGAGGGACGAUCAUACGUUCUAUCUAAGACAGCAAAAUGAUCAUGCUUGAGAAAAGUUGUGCCUAGUCGCGAUAUGAGAAAUGCCUGCGAGCUGAUUGGCCUCCAAGAGGAACAUCUCUCCGUCUCCCAUAAGGCUGGUAUCAGCUUGUGAAGAGGGAUUGGCCUCCAUAGAGGAAGAUCUCUCAGUCUCUCAUAGGGACUGGUAUCGCUUGUAAAGAGAUUGCCCCCAAGAGGACAUCUCUCAGUCUCCCAUAGGGACUGGUAUCAGCUAGUAAGAGAGGACUGGCCUCCAAAGGACAUCUCUCAGUCUCCCAUGAGGACUGGUAUCACCUUGUAAAGAGGAUUGGCCUCCAGAGGGACAUCUCUCAGUCGUACAUAGGGACUGAUAUCAGCUUGUAAAGGAGGAUUGGCCUCCAAGAGGAACAUCUCUGAGUCUUACAUAGGGCUGGUAUCAGCUUGAAAGAGGAAGAUUGGCCUACAAAAGAAACAUUUUUUCAGUCUUCCAUAUGGACCGGUAUCAGCUCGUAAAGAGGAUUGACCUCCAAGAGGAACAUCUCUUAGUCUUCCAUAGGGACUGGUAUGCAGCUUGUACAUGAGGAAGGCUCCUUGUUCCAGCACUAUUCUGUGUACCACCAAAAAGAUUAUCUCGAGUCUACCAGUUGCAUUAUAUAAUGCAUCUUGCACGCUUGAAAACUCGCCUGAUAUCUGAGGAGAAAAAGAGUAUAGAUAGGAUAAAUAAAUGCAAGAACUAUCACAAUGACUUGAACAAAAUAUGAUGAACUACACAUUAUAUCUUUGUGUGCAACAUAGAAAUGCUAUGGGAAAAAUUAAUCUCUAUUAGAUCAUAAAUAAGUGCACACUGCAGGGGUCCUUUUUUCUUAAUAAUAGAAGUUGCAUUGAAUUAAGAGAAAAUAGUCACCAAAAAACUACAAUAAAUAUGUUAGUGUGUCAAGUGUUAGUUAGAAGCCUCACAUUAGAUGAAAACUUUUAUAGUGAGAGGACUUGUAGUGUUAAACUCACUUGUCUGGUUGCUCUAGCCCAUAUAUGAUGAUCCCACGGGGUUUUAGGCUCCCGGAAGUCUCAACAAUGUGAUCAGACCAGUUAGUUGAUGGAGAGGCAUGAGUGGUUCUUGGUGCUGAUCAAGGAUGCGGAGAGUCUCACAUGUAUGGGGAGCAACAUAAAAAGAGGACUUAUACCUAAUGCCUUAAGGUUUUGAGUGAAGAUGUGAUCUUCAUUGCUCUAGCUCAGUGUGAUGAUCCCCUAUUUGUCAAUAACUCUAUAGCCCUUUCAAAGGCUUUAUGUCCAUAACACUCAUGAGCCAUAGGCUGACAAUGAGCAGGAUGCCAUUUCUUACCGGUAGAAACAAUAAAUUUCGGUUUCAUAAUCACUAUAAAGAGUGGUAUGAGGUUGAAAGGUAGAGUGGAGCAGGGGUGAUUAGAAAGUGUUAAGAAAUGUGGUUGGGCCUAACUCAACCCUACAAAACGCGGUUGGUAGAGUGGGAUUUCCCCCACUUAUAAACACAUGUUCAAGCCAUAAUUAUCCGAUGUGGAACCCUUAACAGAAAGCUUGUUGAAAGGGGUAGCAGGAGUGGUUUGAGAUGUUGGAUUAAGGAUGUGGAAAGCCGAUUUGUUGAAAGAGGCACCAAUGCCUACUCCUUCUUUAAGCAGAAGUGGAGAGUAUGAGAUGGGGUAGUGCCAUUCAGCAUCCAAAGUUUCCUAAAAUGAAGUAAAAUUAUUAUGAUUUUGUCUGUUUAGGACCACCAGAAAAUAGCAGGCCAAGAAAUGGAGCAGCAGCUAACAAUAUGGGAGAAUCGGUAUCUUCAAGGCAACAAAGGUAAAGAAUAAUAGAAAUUAGCAAAGAAGGAUCAGAAUAUGAAAUGAACUGAAACAUGGGAAUUGGAAAAACCGACAUGGAUGACAUUCAAGAGAAAUGAGUGAAGAUGUGAGUCUCACAAGAGAUGCAGAAUUUGUUGAUAAUGUUGGAGUGAGGGUAGGUUCAAAUGAUGGCUUCAACGCGAUGAGUUGAGCGUCGAUGAGAUGGGAAAGAACAGCGGUGAUGGAACAUUCAAUGUUGCCAACUUGAAGUGAUUGCGUGUUGUUGAGGACUUUGAUGGCAUUUGGGUUGGAUUGAGGUGUUGACAGAUUAGGCCCACAAUUUCACAGCCUCUUAUGGUGCCACAUUAGUAUUUUCAAUCACAAUAUUCGCUAUUACAAAGCCUGCUGAGUAUGUAUGUUUCAGAGAAAGGAUUUACAAUUUCGCAUACCAUAAAAUGUUUAAAUGCCUUAUAAGUAAACAUUAAAGAGUUUUGGCAAAAAGUAAGAGAUGCACGACUAGCACAAUAAACUUAGCAUGAUGGAGGAUGAGAAACUUUUUUGGAGAGAUUUGUUAGAAUUGCAGAUACAAACACAAUCAACAUUGAUAAAAAUAAAUGAUUCUUCAGCAGUUUAAUGCUAAAAUAAAUAAAAGAAGUGCCAUCUCCAAAUUCAAACCUGUACAACUUGAUCAUUAUCUGACACACUUUUAGAAACCUGAUCAGUUCCAAUUAUUCGUAUGCUAGCCUCUGUUGCCCUCCUCAUUUCUGACACUACUACUCCCGCCUUUUCCUAACAAACAACCGACUUGGUUUGAUGGACUACAAGUUGUGCAGUCACGGGUAAACCUGUAUUUAAUCCAGGAUUAUCCCUUUCUCAAUACCAGCCUCAAAGAGACUGGAGAAAACAAGCACCACGGCCCUUUGUGCUGGGGAAUACUUGACUCGGGAUUCUGCAAUAAAAAUGAAGCCACCACCAACAGAAAACGUUAAUAAAAACGUAACAAUAAAGAUACACAUACAACAAAUACGCACAGAGGAAUGAAGGAGUAAAACAGAAAGAAUUAAUUGAACAAACCUCUGAAGCGGUAAUAGUAAUCAAUCGAUCCUCACAUUUAGCUACUGAAGGACCCACACUUACAGUGGCCCUGUCUCACUUUGAAGGCUUUAAUUAUGUUCCCACCUUUUCCAAUGAUACCCUCCAACUCUAUCGUUGGAAACAAUAAUUUUGAAGUUGAUUUCUUGCUGAUUGUGCUUUUGAUUCUUGGAUGAGACUCUUAUUACUUCUGCUGACAAGGAAUGAACUCCAGUAGCAUAGCUGUUAGGCAAUUAUGUGAAGUAGAGAGUGAUGAGCCUCUUUGCAGAAGAUGAUCCACAUGCAGAUCAGUUAAUGUCUCGCGUGGAGCUGGCAAUUAAAGUCUCACGUGGAGCUCCAAUAAAAGUAUCAUGGUGAAGCUGAAUUUAAAGUCUCACGAGGAACUCCAACUAAAAGCUUCUUGAGGAUUUUGUCCUAUCAUCUUUGUUCUAUCAGCAUGAUGACCAUCUUGAAGACGAUGAGAGACCGCACAACAAGUGCCUUCUUACGGAUGACACGCUGCCUUCUAUCUACCAACAAAACCAAAAGAUGUGUUGUCUAAGUAUAAAUAAAGAGAAUAUUUUCAAGCAUAAAUAAAUGAAUACAUUUGCGUAUUCAUAUAUUCUUUGAUUGGCCAGUGGGAAAAAUUACCAAUCUUAACCGACGAAAUUAAGAUUCUUCCUUAUAUCCAUCCAAGGUAGUCAAAAUGAAAAGUACCAUUGCAGCGUGUCCAUGGUGGAGAGCCAAAAUCCCGCCAUACCAAACGCUUUGCAAACACCGUUAUAGCGGGUUAUGGCAGAAAAACCCGCAAUAUCGGCUGAUAUUUACCAUUGCAGCGAGCCCAAAACCCGCACACAAUAUCCGCGCGCCGCAAUUGCGGAUAUUUGAUAGCACUGAAAGUACUUUAUAUGCUUUAUGUAUUUUCCUUAUAUGCCCUUAUGACACUGGAUCACCUGCUUAGUCCCCUUUAAUACAAAUAUUAUCACUAGCAAACAAUGUCUUGCCAUGGUUUCUAGUCAAACAAUCAAGAAUCGGGACAACAUGUAUUAAAUAGGAAAAUCUCAAUUACAAGCUUCACCAUUAAAAAAUUAAUCUGACCCCAAAAGUGUUAACUCAGAAGUAACACUCUCUCUUUUUCAAAGAAAGUAAGUCUAGAGAUCAGGAUCAAUAUUGUCAAAUCAAGAAUUUGCUCAGAUCAAAAGGGGAUACCAAGAUUGUAGCACGUAAGAUUGCAACCAAGAUUGUAGCACGUAAGAUUGCAAACAAGAUCGUACCACGUAAGAUUGCAACCAAUAUCGUACCACGUAAGAUCGCAACCAAGAUGGUAAGAUUCUAUCCAUUAAUUAUGUGAGUUCAAGAGAGGUAGGAGGUUCAUAACAAGGAUUGUAAGGUCCUACUAAAGUUAAAAACUAUACUAUACUAUACUAAAUAUCCUAACGCAUAAAUCAAUAUUUUUAUCAAGUAUUU